Vicia villosa (hairy vetch) is the source of this 1313-nucleotide long non-coding RNA. RefSeq lists it as uncharacterized. The transcript is spliced from 7 exons. The record is from RefSeq and is a predicted model, not a curated record. Lineage: Eukaryota; Viridiplantae; Streptophyta; Magnoliopsida; Fabales; Fabaceae.
UCCAUCUAAUCCUAACCAAACACAUCCUCAAUAAUUUCUCAUCUGCCUCCCUCAACCCACGCCUCCUUACACCAUCACCACAAUCAACAACUCCCUCAACCCACGCCUCUUUACACCAUCACCACCAUCAACAACUUUACGAUAUCUGCAUUCUUUUUCUCUCUUCUUAACUUUUUCUACCACUCACAAGGACAAAAAAUGGAAUAGACAUCGUUCUUUCGAAACCUUCGAUGAUCUUCAGCAAUGGUUACAAUUUCUUGACUCUUUCCAUUCCAACUCUCAAAUUUGAUUGAUGUUAGUGUGUGUUGUGUUGUGUGUGACUCUUUCAGGUUAGCUAGCACGGAGGGCAGUUCUUUCAUGGAAAACACAUCACGACGAAGAGUUAUUGUUCUCUAGUACUAAAGUAGAUCAGGCAAUCUUUAGUCCUCCCAAACCGGCCAGAGGAGGUUAAUUUGAGCAAAUUGGAAAUAGCUGCAUUGCGGAGAUAUUGGCUGACACUUCAAUCUGGUUGGGAUUGAUCUAGAAAGAAAUUUUGACGGGAAAGCUUCUAAUCUUGUGGAGCAGUGUGGAAAAUCAUCUAUGAAUCUUGUUGCCCUUGUUGCACGUCAUUUUUCUGGUUUAUCGUGAUAUGGUAGGCAGUGCUUACUAUGUUGCUCCUGAGGUACUGCGUCAGGGUUAGCAAGGAAAUAGACAUUUGGAGUGCAUACAUGAUAUUGUAUAUUCUCCUUAGUGGUGUACCACCUUUUUUGGCUGAAACUGAAAAGGGAAUAUUUAAUGCCAUAUUUGAAGGAGAACUUAACUUUGUUAGAGAACCAUGGCCAUCAAUGAACUUAAUUUUGUUAGGGAACCAUGGCCAUCGUUAUCAAACAGUGCUAAAAAUCUAGGCAGGAAGAUGCUCAAUCCAGAUCCAAAAAAGAGAAUCACUUCUACACAAGUCCUUGUAGCCCGAGCUUCUCAUUCUGUGUUCACUGAAUUUAUGUCUAUGGCGAAGGAAUCUGAAAAGUACUAUGGAGUCUCUUGGAAGGAGAAGCUCAUUUUCCAUUACAUACAAGUUCAUGUAGUUGUUAGAACUACAGGUGAUAUUUAGUUGUGUGCAGACUUUGACAGAAACACGGAUACGCUAAUACACCUGCAAGAUGAUUAGACGGGGCUUGGGUGGGUUUUGGUCUGGAAUUCGGCAUUUGGUAGGUUAUAUGUAAGUUCUUAUGUAAAUUCUUACUGGGGUUGUUGGUUUUCUCUGAUAGAAAUAGAAAUAUGAUUCAAUUCAAAAUUUCGGCAUUUGGUAUAUUCAGCAAUUGGUAGGUUAUACAAAA